AGAGUUUGAUCCUGGCUCAGAACGAACGCUGGCGGCGUGCUUAACACAUGCAAGUCGAACGAGAAGCUAUCCUUCGGGAUGGUGGAGAGUGGCGAACGGGUGAGUAACGCGUGGGCAAUCUACCCUUGGGUGGGGGAUAACCAUUCGAAAGGAUGGCUAAUACCGCAUAUCCAAUAAUGUCAUAAGGCGUUAUUGAAAAUCCUUCGGGGCCUGAGGAGGAGCUUACGUUCUAUCAGCUUGUUGGUAGGGUAACGGCCUACCAAGGCGACGACGGAUAGCUGGUCUGAGAGGAUGAUCAGCCACACUGGCACUGAGACACGGGCCAGACUCCUACGGGAGGCAGCAGUGAGGAAUAUUGCGCAAUGGGCGAAAGCCUGACGCAGCAACGCCGCGUGGAGGAUGAAGGCUCUCGGGUUGUAAACUCCUUUCAGGGGGGACGAAGUAGAUUGGGUAACCAAUCGGACGGUACCUCCAGAAGAGCCACGGCUAACUUCGUGCCAGCAGCCGCGGUAAUACGAAGGUGGCGAGCGUUGUUCGGAUUUACUGGGCGUAAAGCGUACGCAGGCGGUUGAAUAAGCGAGAUGUGAAAGCCCCGGGCUCAACCUGGGAACUGCAUUUCGAACUGGCAGGCUAGAGUAUGGUAGAGGGGGGUAGAAUUUCAGGUGUAGCGGUGAAAUGCGUAGAGAUCUGAAGGAAUACCGAUGGCGAAGGCAGCCCCCUGGGUCACACUGACGCUCAUGUACGAAAGCGUGGGGAGCAAACAGGAUUAGAUACCCUGGUAGUCCACGCCGUAAACGAUGUCUACUCGGAGUUUGGUAACUUAGUUACUGGGCUCCCAAGCUAACGCAUUAAGUAGACCGCCUGGGGAGUACGGCCGCGAGGUUAAAACUCAAAUGAAUUGACGGGGGCCCGCACAAGCGGUGGAGCAUGUGGUUUAAUUCGAUGCAACGCGAAGAACCUUACCUACUCUUGACAUCCAUAGAACUUUUCAAGAUGAAUUGGUGCCUUCGGGAACUAUGAGACAGGUGCUGCAUGGCUGUCGUCAGCUCGUGUUGUGAAAUGUUGGGUUAAGUCCCGCAACGAGCGCAACCCUUAUCCUUAUUUGCCAGCACGUAAUGGUGGGAACUUUAGGGAGACUGCCGGUGAUAAACCGGAGGAAGGUGGGGACGACGUCAAGUCAUCAUGGCCCUUACGAGUAGGGCUACACACGUGCUACAAUGGUCGGUACAGAGGGUCGCAAGCCGCGAGGUGUAGCUAAUCCCACAAAGCCGGUCGUAGUCCGGAUCGGAGUCUGCAACUCGACUCCGUGAAGUCGGAAUCGCUAGUAAUCGUAGAUCAGAAUGCUACGGUGAAUACGUUCCCGGGCCUUGUACACACCGCCCGUCACACCAUGGGAGUGGGCUGCGCCAGAAGUAGGUUGCCUAACCUUCGGGAGGGCGCUUACCACGGUGUGCUUCAUGACUGGGGUGAAGUCGGUGCAAGGUAACC
Molecule: ribosomal RNA, 1488 nt
Filed under: uncultured prokaryote
Description: partial 16S ribosomal RNA
Rfam family: Bacterial small subunit ribosomal RNA
Source: RNAcentral